RNAcentral lists this ribosomal RNA (243 nucleotides) under uncultured Bacillus sp. RNAcentral's name for it is "partial 16S ribosomal RNA". It matches the Rfam family "Bacterial small subunit ribosomal RNA", at positions 1142 to 1382 of the family's 1533-position model. Lineage: Bacteria; Bacillati; Bacillota; Bacilli; Caryophanales; Bacillaceae. The record is from RNAcentral.
AGACGAACUGCCGUUGACAAAACGGGAGGAAAGUGGGGAUGACGUCAAAUCAUCAUGCCCCUUAUGUUCUGGGCUACACACGUGCUACAAUGGCCGGUACAGACGGACGCAAAGCCGCGAGGUGGAGCAAAUCCUAAAAAGCCGGUCUCAGUUCGGAUUGCAGGCUGCAAUUCGCCUGCAUGAAGUCGGAAUCGCUAGUAAUCGCAGGUCAGCAUACUGCGGUCGAAUACGUUCCCGGGCCUU